Molecule: ribosomal RNA, 253 nt
Filed under: uncultured bacterium
Lineage: Bacteria
Description: partial 16S ribosomal RNA
Rfam family: Bacterial small subunit ribosomal RNA
Source: RNAcentral
CACGUAGGGCGCAAGCGUUGUCCGGAAUUAUUGGGCGUAAAGAGCUCGUAGGCGGUCUGUUGCGUCCGCUGUGAAAACUCGGGGCUUAACCCCGGGCCUGCAGUGGGUACGGGCAGACUAGAGUGCGGUAGGGGAGACUGGAAUUCCUGGUGUAGCGGUGAAAUGCGCAGAUAUCAGGAGGAACACCGAUGGCGAAGGCAGGUCUCUGGGCAUUAACUGACGCUGAGGAGCGAAAGCAUGGGGAGCGAACGGG